This 317-nucleotide ribosomal RNA is filed under the name uncultured bacterium. Its description in RNAcentral is "partial 16S ribosomal RNA". It matches the Rfam family "Bacterial small subunit ribosomal RNA", at positions 43 to 364 of the family's 1533-position model. The record is from RNAcentral.
GAAUUCGAUUCAGGCCUAAAAAAAACAAGUCGAGCGGGGUUUUCGGACCUAGCGGCGGACGGGUGAGUAAUGCGUAGGAAGCUGCCCGAUAGAGGGGGAUACCAGUUGGAAACGACUGUUAAUACCGCAUAAUGUCUACGGACCAAAGUGUGGGACCUUCGGGCCACAUGCUAUCGGAUGCGCCUACGUGGGAUUAGCUAGUUGGUGAGGUAAUGGCUCACCAAGGCGCCGAUCUCUAGCUGGUUUGAGAGGAAAAACAGCCACACUGUUUUUGGGGGAAGGUCCAGACUCCUACGGGAGGCAGCAGUGGGGAAUAU